UCUAAUUUUGGUAGGAAUGCUUCCUACAUCCAGCAUAUUAUUAGCUUCCUUGUUGGUCAUUAUAAUAAACAAGGACAUCCAAGAUUUUUAUUGAAAUCAGACUGUUCAUAAACUAAACCGUUUAACACAGAUAAACAUUACAAAUCACAGCCAAAAAAACAAAAUAGCAUUCUACAAAUGCAAUCAGGAAUUAAUGGCAGGAAACAAAAACAAA
This is a long non-coding RNA of Sander lucioperca (pikeperch), 214 nucleotides long. RefSeq lists it as uncharacterized. Lineage: Eukaryota; Metazoa; Chordata; Actinopteri; Perciformes; Percidae. The transcript is spliced from 2 exons. The record is from RefSeq and is a predicted model, not a curated record.